Non-coding RNA from Phrynosoma platyrhinos (Desert horned lizard), 72 nucleotides. The record is from the annotation of a GenBank genome assembly. Lineage: Eukaryota; Metazoa; Chordata; Lepidosauria; Squamata; Phrynosomatidae.
GGUAGUGUGGAGUAGUGGUUUGAGUUUUGGACUACGACUCUGGAGAUCAGGGUUCGAAUUCCCACUCGGCCA